AUGUUUCUCCUAGACAGGUUUGAUCAAUGAAGUUUCUAGGCUGUAGCUGACCCAUUCCUUCAUGUGAAGAAUACUUUCAAAAGCACAAAACGCCCCGAGGCGAUAGAGUCCUUAGACCAUGUGUAGUGGGGCGUUUUUUUUUUUUUAAAUUAAAAAAAAAACGCCGAAUCAGUAAUCACGUCCAUCUCCCAUUACGGCCCGGCGUUAUCGGGCGUUUUUUUUUGAAAAAAUUCGAUUGGCGUUUUUCAAAUCACGCCAAAAGGGCAAAUUUUUUGGCCAAUCAGAUGGAGAUAGCUGGAAUUUGUGCCGGAAUGGGACGAAUUUGAGUCGGAAUGGUUUUGUGGUUAGCCGGAAUUGUUGCCGGAAAAGCUGGAAUGCAGGAAACGAAGAAGAAGAUGGAAUGCAGGAAAAGGUUUUAAAAGUUUAGUUUUGACAACUUUGGUCCCUGUGGUUUAGAUAUGGUUUUAAAUUUAACUUUUGAACUUUUGAAUUUUGGUCCUUGUGGUUUAGAUAUGUAAUGUUUUCUAUUUAACUUUUGAAUUCUUUUUAAGAAUGUAAUGUUUUUUUAUUUAAAUGAAAUUUUAUUAGUUUUAAUUAAA
This 599-nucleotide long non-coding RNA is filed under the name Helianthus annuus (common sunflower). Its description in RNAcentral is "hypothetical non coding rna". The record is from RNAcentral. Lineage: Eukaryota; Viridiplantae; Streptophyta; Magnoliopsida; Asterales; Asteraceae.